Molecule: long non-coding RNA, 942 nt
Filed under: Homo sapiens (human)
Lineage: Eukaryota; Metazoa; Chordata; Mammalia; Primates; Hominidae
Description: HSALNT0266564
Source: RNAcentral
CAACACUUUGAGAGGCCAAGGCAGGUGGAUCACUUGAGCGCAGGAAUUCAAGACCAGCCUGGGCAACAUGGCAAAACCCCAUCUCUACAAAAAGUACAAAAAUUAACCGGGCGUGGUGGUGGGUGCCUGUAGUCCCAGUUACUCCGGAGGCUGACGCAGGAGAAUCGCUUGAACCUGGGAGGCGCAGGUUGCAGUGAGCCGACAUCUCGCCACUGCACUCCAGCCUGGGGGACAGAAUGAGACUCCAACUCAAAAAAAGAAAAAAAGAAAAAGAAAGCCUGGGGAUAUUUACCAGGACCCUUCCUCCUUUUCAGGCCCUAGAUUCUAAGAUCCUGCUUUGCAGAUCUGAAGUGGGACCCAGGAAUCUUUAACAAGCUCUAAGCCUGCCGAGUGCCUGCAAUUGCAGGCACGCGCCGCCACGCCUGACUGGUUUUGGUGGAGACGGGGUUUCGCUGUGUUGGCCGGGCCGGUCUCCAGCCCCUAACCGCGAGUGAUCCGCCAGCCUCGGCCUCCCGAGGUGCCGGGAUUGCAGACGGAGUCUCGUUCACUCAGUGCUCAAUGGUGCCCAGGCUGGAGUGCAGUGGCGUGAUCUCGGCUCACUACAACCUACACCUCCCAGCCACCUGCCUUGGCCUCCCAAAGUGCCGAGAUUGCAGCCUCUGCCCGGCCGCCACCCCGUCUGGGAAGUGAGGAGUGUCUCUGCCUGGCCGCCCAUCAUCUGGGAUGUGAGGAGCCCCUCUGCCUGGCUGCCCAGUCUGGAAAGUGAGGAGCGUCUCCUCCUGGCCGCCAUCCCAUCUAGGAAGUGAGGAGCGCCUCUUCCCAGCCGCCAUCACAUCUAGGAAGUGAGGAGCGUCUCUGCCCGGCCGCCCAUCGUCUGAGAUGUGGGGAGCGCCUCUGCCCUGCCGCCCCGUCUGGGAUGUGAGGAGCGCCUCUGCCCGGCCG